This 493-nucleotide ribosomal RNA is filed under the name uncultured bacterium. Its description in RNAcentral is "bacterial SSU rRNA". It matches the Rfam family "Bacterial small subunit ribosomal RNA", at positions 15 to 507 of the family's 1533-position model. The record is from RNAcentral.
GAUCAUGGCUCAGAUUGAACGCUGGCGGAAUGCUUUACACAUGCAAGUCGAACGGUAGAGGGGGCAACCCCUCGAGAGUGGCGAACGGGUGAGUAAUAUAUCGGAACGUGCCCAGUCGUGGGGGAUAACGUAGCGAAAGUUACGCUAAUACCGCAUACGAUCUACGGAUGAAAGCGGGGGAUCGCAAGACCUCGCGCGAUUGGAGCGGCCGAUAUCAGAUUAGGUAGUUGGUGGGGUAAAGGCUCACCAAGCCAACGAUCUGUAGCUGGUCUGAGAGGACGACCAGCCACACUGGAACUGAGACACGGUCCAGACUCCUACGGGAGGCAGCAGUGGGGAAUUUUGGACAAUGGACGCAAGUCUGAUCCAGCCAUUCCGCGUGCAGGAUGAAGGCCCUCGGGUUGUAAACUGCUUUUGUACGGAACGAAAAGGUCUCUCCUAAUACGAGGGGCUCAUGACGGUACCGUAAGAAUAAGCACCGGCUAACUACGUG